GCGGCGGAAGGUGAUCGAAUUCCGGUGAUGCGAGUUGUUCUCCGUCUAUAAAUACGCCUCGCCCGAGCUGUGCGGCAGGCAGUGAGGCAGCCAGCGCAGGGGCUUCUGCUGAGGGCGCAGGCGGAGCUUGAGGAAACCGCAGAUAAGUUUUUUUCACUUUGAAAGAUAGAGAUUAAUACAACUACUUAAAAAAUAUAGUCAAUAGGUUACUAAGAUAUUGCUUAGCGUUAAGCUUUUAACGUAAUUUUAAUAGCUUAAGAUUUUAAGAGAAAAUAUGAAGACUUAGAAGAGUAGCAUGACGAAGGAAAAGAUAAAAGAUUUCUAAAACAUGACGGAGGUUGAGAUGAAGCUUCUUCAUGGAGUAAAAAAUGUAUUUAAAAGAAAAUUGAGAGAAAGGACUACAGAGCCCUGAAUUAAUACCAAUAGAAGGGCAAUGCUUUUAGAUUAAAAUGAAGGUGACUUAAACAGCUUAAAGUUUACUUUAAAAGUUGUAGGUGAUUAAAAUAAUUUGAAGGCGAUCUUUUAAAAAGAGAUUAAACCGAAGGUGAUUAAAAGACCUUGAAAUCCAUGACGCAGGGAGAAUUGCGUCAUUUAAAGCCUAGUUAACGCAUUUAAACGCAGACGAAAAUGGAAAGAUUAGUUGGGAGUGGUAGGAUGAAACGAUUUGGAGAAGAUAGAAGUUUGAAGUGGAAAACUGGAAGACAGAAGUACAGGAAGGCGGAGAAAAGAAUAGAGAAGAUAGGGAAAUUAGAAGAUAAAAACAUACUUUUAGAAGAAAAAAGAUAAAUUUAAACCUGAAAAGUAGGAAGCAGAAGAAAAAAGACAAGCUAGGAAACAAAAAACUAAGGGCAAAAUGUACAAACUUAGAAGAAAAUUGGAAGAUAGAAACAAGAUAGAAAAUGAAAAUAUUGUCAAGAGUUUCAGAUAGAAAAUGAAAAACAAGCUAAGACAAGUAUUGGAGAAGUAUAGAAGAUAGAAAAAUAUAAAGCCAAAAAUUGGAUAAAAUAGCACUGAAAAAGUGAGGAAAUUAUUGGUAACCAAUUUAUUUUAAAAGCCCAUCAAUUUAAUUUCUGGUGGUGCAGAAGUUAGAAGGUAAAGCUUGAGAAGAUGAGGGUGUUUACGUAGACCAGAACCAAUUUAGAAGAAUACUUGAAGCUAGAAGGGGAAGUUGGUUAAAAAUCACAUCAAAAAAGGACUGGUGUAAUUUAAAAAAAAACUAAGGCAGAAGGCUUUUGGAAGAGUUAGAAGAAUUUGGAAGGCCUUAAAUAUAGUAGCUUAGUUUGAAAAAUGUGAAGGACUUUCGUAACGGAAGUAAUUCAAGAUCAAGAGUAAUUACCAACUUAAUGUUUUUGCAUUGGACUUUGAGUUAAGAUUAUUUUUUAAAUCCUGAGGACUAGCAUUAAUUGACAGCUGACCCAGGUGCUACACAGAAGUGGAUUCAGUGAAUCUAGGAAGACAGCAGCAGACAGGAUUCCGGGAACCAGUGUUUGAUGAAGCUAGGACUGAGGAGCAAGCGAGCAAGCAGCAGUUCGUGGUGAAGAUAGGAAAAGAGUCCAGGAGCCAGUGCGAUUUGGUGAAGGAAGCUAGGAAGAAGGAAGGAGCGCUAACGAUUUGGUGGUGAAGCUAGGAAAAAGGAUUCCAGAAAGGAGCGAGUGCGAUUUGGUGAUGAAGCUAGCAGGCGGCUUGGCUUGGCAACCACACGGAGGAGGCGAGCAGGCGUUGUGCGUAGAUAGAGGAUCCUAGACCAGCAUGCCAGUGUGCCAAGGCCACAGGGAAAACGAGUGGUUGGUAAAAAUCCGUGAGGUCGGCAAUAUGUUGUUUUUCUGGAACUUAUGGUAACCUUUUAUUUAUUUUCUAAUAUAAUGGGGGAGUUUCGUACUGAGGUGUAAAGGGAUUUAUAUGGGGAACGUAGGCCGAUUUCCGGGUGUUGUAGGUUUCUCUUUUUCAGGCUUAUACUCAUGAAUCUUGUCUGAAGCUUUUGAGGGCAGACUGCCAAGUCCUGGAGAAAUAGUAGAUGGCAAGUUUGUGGGUUUUUUUUUUUUUUUUUUUUUUUUUUACGAAUUUGAGGAAAACCAAAUGAAUUUGAUAGCCAAAUUGAGACAAUUUCAGCAAAUCUGUAAGCAGUUUGUAUGUUUAGUUGGGGUAAAUGAAGUAUUUCAGUUUUGUGAAUAGAUGACCUGUUUUUACUUCCUCACCCUGAAUUCGUUUUGUAAAUGUAGAGUUUGGAUGUGUAACUGAGGCGGGGGGGAGUUUUCAGUAUUUUUUUUUUGUGGGGGUGGGGGCAAAAUAUGUUUUCAGUUCUUUUUCCCUUAGGUCUGUCUAGAAUCCUAAAGGCAAAUGACUCAAGGUGUAACAGAAAACAAGAAAAUCCAAUAUCAGGAUAAUCAGACCACCACAGGUUUACAGUUUAUAGAAACUAGAGCAGUUCUCACGUUGAGGUCUGUGGAAGAGAUGUCCAUUGGAGAAAUGGCUGGUAGUUACUCUUUUUUCCCCCCACCCCCUUAAUCAGACUUUAAAAGUGCUUAACCCCUUAAACUUGUUAUUUUUUACUUGAAGCAUUUUGGGAUGGUCUUAACAGGGAAGAGAGAGGGUGGGGGAGAAAAUGUUUUUUUCUAAGAUUUUCCACAGAUGCUAUAGUACUAUUGACAAACUGGGUUAGAGAAGGAGUGUACCGCUGUGCUGUUGGCACGAACACCUUCAGGGACUGGAGCUGCUUUUAUCCUUGGAAGAGUAUUUCCAGUUGAAGCUGAAAAGUACAGCACAGUGCAGCUUUGGUUCAUAUUCAGUCAUCUCAGGAGAACUUCAGAAGAGCUUGAGUAGGCCAAAUGUUGAAGUUAAGUUUUCCAAUAAUGUGACUUCUUAAAAGUUUUAUUAAAGGGGAGGGGCAAAUAUUGGCAAUUAGUUGGCAGUGGCCUGUUACGGUUGGGAUUGGUGGGGUGGGUUUAGGUAAUUGUUUAGUUUAUGAUUGCAGAUAAACUCAUGCCAGAGAACUUAAAGUCUUAGAAUGGAAAAAGUAAAGAAAUAUCAACUUCCAAGUUGGCAAGUAACUCCCAAUGAUUUAGUUUUUUUCCCCCCAGUUUGAAUUGGGAAGCUGGGGGAAGUUAAAUAUGAGCCACUGGGUGUACCAGUGCAUUAAUUUGGGCAAGGAAAGUGUCAUAAUUUGAUACUGUAUCUGUUUUCCUUCAAAGUAUAGAGCUUUUGGGGAAGGAAAGUAUUGAACUGGGGGUUGGUCUGGCCUACUGGGCUGACAUUAAUUACAAUUAUGGGAAAUGCAAAAGUUGUUUGGAUAUGGUAGUGUGUGGUUCUCUUUUGGAAUUUUUUUCAGGUGAUUUAAUAAUAAUUUAAAACUACUAUAGAAACUUCAGAGCAAAGGAAGUGGCUUAAUGAUCCUGAAGGGAUUUCUUCUGAUGGUAGCUUUUGUAUUAUCAAACUUUUUUCAGAUAACAUCUUCUGAGUCAUAACCAGCCUGGCAGUAUGAUGGCCUAGAUGCAGAGAAAACAGCUCCUUGGUGAAUUGAUAAGUAAAGGCAGAAAAGAUUAUAUGUCAUACCUCCAUUGGGGAAUAAGCAUAACCCUGAGAUUCUUACUACUGAUGAGAACAUUAUCUGCAUAUGCCAAAAAAUUUUAAGCAAAUGAAAGCUACCAAUUUAAAGUUACGGAAUCUACCAUUUUAAAGUUAAUUGCUUGUCAAGCUAUAACCACAAAAAUAAUGAAUUGAUGAGAAAUACAAUGAAGAGCCAAUGUCCAUCUCAAAAUACUGCUUUUACAAAAGCAGAAUAAAAGCGAAAUGAAAUGAAAAUGUUAUACUACAUUAAUCCUGGAAUAAAAGAAGCCGAAAUAAAUGAGAGAUGAGUUGGGAUCAAGUGGAUUGAGGAGGCUGUGCUGUGUGCCAAUGUUUCGUUUGCCUCAGACAGGUAUCUCUUCGUUAUCAGAAGAGUUGCUUCAUUUCAUCUGGGAGCAGAAAACAGCAGGCAGCUGUUAACAGAUAAGUUUAACUUGCAUCUGCAGUAUUGCAUGUUAGGGAUAAGUGCUUAUUUUUAAGAGGUGUGGAGUUCUUAAAUAUCAACCAUGGCACUUUCUCCUGACCCCUUCCCUAGGGGAUUUCAGGAUUGAGAAAUUUUUCCAUCGAGCCUCUUUAAAAUUGUAGGACUUGUUCCUGUGGGCUUCAAUGAUGGGAUAGUACACUUCACUCAGAGGCAUUUGCAUCUUUAAAUAAUUUCUUAAAAGCCUCUAAAGUGAUCAGUGCCUUGAUGCCAACUAAGGAAAUUUGUUUAGCAUUGAAUCUCUGAAGGCUCUAUGAAAGGAAUAGCAUGAUGUGCUGUUAGAAUCAGAUGUUAUUGCUAAAAUUUACAUGUUGUGUUGUGAUGUAAAUUGUGUAGAAAACCAUUAAAUCAUUCAAAAUAAUAAACUAUUUUUAUUAGAGAAUGUAUACUUUUAGAAAGCUGUCUCCUUAUUUAAAUACAAUACUGUUUGUCUGUAGUUUAGUGUUGGGGCAAUCUUGGGGGGGAUUCUUCUCUAAUCUUUCAGAAACUUUGUCUGCGAACACUCUUUAAUGGACCAGAUCAGGAUUUGAGCGGAAGAACGAAUGUAACUUUAAGGCAGGAAAGACAAAUUUUAUUCUUCAUAAAGUGAUGAGCAUAUAAUAAUUCCAGGCACAUGGCAAUAGAGGCCCUCUAAAUAAGGAAUAAAUAACCUCUUAGACAGGUGGGAGAUUAUGAUCAGAGUAAAAGGUAAUUACACAUUUUAUUUCCAGAAAGUCAGGGGUCUAUAAAUUGACAGUGAUUAGAGUAAUACUUUUUCACAUUUCCAAAGUUUGCAUGUUAACUUUAAAUGCUUACAAUCUUAGAGUGGUAGGCAAUGUUUUACAUUAUUGACCUUAUAUAGGGAAGGGAGGGGGUGCCUGUGGGUUUUUAAAGAAUUUUCCUUUGCAGAGGCAUUUCAUCCUUCAUGAAGCUGUUCAGGAUUUUGAAUUGCAUAUGAGUGCUUGGCUCUUCCUUCUGUUCUCCUAGUGAGUGUAUGAGACCUUGCAACUUCACAGAGAAUGCAGUUGUCUUGACUUCAGGUCUGUCUGUUCUGUUGGCAAGUAAAUGCAGUACUGUUCUGAUCCCGCUGCUAUUAGAAUGCAUUGUGAAACGACUGGAGUAUGAUUAAAAGUUGUGUUCCCCAAUGCUUGGAGUAGUGAUUGUUGAAGGAAAAAAUCCAGCUGAGUGAUAAAGGCUGAGUGUUGAGGAAAUUUCUGCAGUUUUAAGCAGUCGUAUUUGUGAUUGAAGCUGAGUACAUUUUGCUGGUGUAUUUUUAGGUAAAAUGCUUUUUGUUCAUUUCUGGUGCUGGGAGGGGACUGAAGCCUUUAGUCUUUUCCAGAUGCAACCUUAAAAUCAGUGACAAGAAACAAAUUCCAAACAAGCAACAGUCUUCAAGAAAUUAAACUGGCAAGUGGAAAUGUUUAAACAGUUCAGUGAUCUUUAGUGCAUUGUUUUUGUGUGGGUUUCUCUCUCCCCUCCCUUGGUCUUAAUUCUUACAUGCAGGAACACUCAGCAGACACACGUAUGCGAAGGGCCAGAGAAGCCAGACCCAGUAAGAAAAAAUAGCCUAUUUACUUUAAAUAAACCAAACAUUCCAUUUUAAAUGUGGGGAUUGGGAACCACUAGUUCUUUCAGAUGGUAUUCUUCAGACUAUAGAAGGAGCUUCCAGUUGAAUUCACCAGUGGACAAAAUGAGGAAAACAGGUGAACAAGCUUUUUCUGUAUUUACAUACAAAGUCAGAUCAGUUAUGGGACAAUAGUAUG
This 5784-nucleotide long non-coding RNA is filed under the name Pan troglodytes (chimpanzee). RNAcentral's name for it is "long non-coding RNA NONPTRT002688". The stretch from base 3707 to 3801 matches the Rfam family "Metastasis associated lung adenocarcinoma transcript 1". Lineage: Eukaryota; Metazoa; Chordata; Mammalia; Primates; Hominidae. The record is from RNAcentral.